This 270-nucleotide ribosomal RNA is filed under the name uncultured archaeon. RNAcentral describes it as "partial 16S ribosomal RNA". It matches the Rfam family "Archaeal small subunit ribosomal RNA", at positions 477 to 747 of the family's 1478-position model. The record is from RNAcentral.
CAGCACCUCAAGUGGUCAGGAUGAUUAUUGGGCCUAAAGCAUCCGUAGCCGGCGCUGUAAGUUUUCGGUUAAAUCUGUACGCUCAACGUACAGGCUGCCGGGAAUACUGCAGCGCUAGGGAGUGGGAGAGGUAGACGGUACUCGGUAGGAAGGGGUAAAAUCCUUUGAUCUAUUGAUGACCACCUGUGGCGACGGCGGUCUACCAGAACACGUCCGACGGUGAGGGAUGAAAGCUGGGGGAGCAAACCGGAUUAGAGACCCGAGUAGUCC